This is a long non-coding RNA of Rhineura floridana, 1019 nucleotides long. RefSeq lists it as uncharacterized. Lineage: Eukaryota; Metazoa; Chordata; Lepidosauria; Squamata; Rhineuridae. The record is from RefSeq and is a predicted model, not a curated record. The transcript has 3 exons.
GUCACAAUUACAGUGAAGGCUCACCUGGGACACAUCCUUCUUAGCUUUAACACCGAAGUUAUGGAACUCCCUUGGAAGGGAGAGUAAACAGGAAGAGAUUUAUGCAGGAGGACGUGGACCAGCAAUGUCUUGAAGGCCUGAAAAGUGGUGUAUCGAAGAGCAAAAUGGUUCCUGAGCACAUCACUAGUCCUUUACUCAUAUAUAGGGCAAUCAUGGAUACAACACAGAACACCUCCAACUCUGCCCCUGAUGUUGCAUCCCCCACUGGCCUCACCUCUUUAUGUCCAUGUGUCCAGUAAGGAUCUCUGUGAACGGGCAUGUAUGGAUCCUAGUGUCUAGCUGCCACAUUCAAGGAAAACAAAUGCAGAAUGCCAAACAAGAGGAAACAUUAUAGAUGUAAUUUUGGAUUUGCAAGGAGCCUGAAACAAAGCAGUGUGAACUAUGCUAUUUGUAUCUGUAGGUGCUGAAGUGAGUGCCACUAGUGAUACUUCAAAUGUCAACAUUGCUAGCUUGUCCUGUGUCUAAAAAAUGUAAGAAAGGAAAGGGCAUAUAAUAAUGUGAAGAAUUAUAGUGACAUUUCCAUAGUGCCUGGAGCAUUGUUAUGAGCAGAGAUUGCAGGACACUUAUUUGAUGUUUAUUGGGGAGAAUGGAGAAACACUAUUUUAGUGUCAGUAAAAGCCUAAAGUGGGAAGUAUGGGAUCAGGGGCUACUGAUAAAUCCCUUUUUUGGCAAGUGUUACCUUUUGCACCUGGCAGCCCUACUUUAUCCCAGUGGUGUCACACUCCAGGUGUUCUCAGAGGCUGGUAUCCUCAGGACUGUAAAGGAAAAAAAGUGUCUGAUCCUUUACAGCAGAGAGGCAAUUACUUUGGUUAACCAUGGACUUUGGGUUGGGAUUAGGGAUAGAUGGAUCUGACAGUUUUGGUUUUUCAAUUUUUUCCAAUUUGCACCAUUUCUGCAUACUUUUGUGACUUUUUAAACAGUUCACGUGAAAUGUUGUACACAAUUUUUCCUUAAUAGAU